GCCUGGGUGGCUCAGUCGGUUGAGCUUCUGACUUUGGCUCAGGUCGUCAUCUCGUGGCUCGUGGGUUCAAGCCCCGCAUCAGGCU
Felis catus (domestic cat) is the source of this 85-nucleotide transfer RNA. It matches the Rfam family "tRNA". From Rfam's summary of the family: Transfer RNA (tRNA) molecules are approximately 80 nucleotides in length. Their secondary structure includes four short double-helical elements and three loops (D, anti-codon, and T loops). Further hydrogen bonds mediate the characteristic L-shaped molecular structure. tRNAs have two regions of fundamental functional importance: the anti-codon, which is responsible for specific mRNA codon recognition, and the 3' end, to which the tRNAs corresponding amino acid is attached (by aminoacyl-tRNA synthetases). tRNAs cope with the degeneracy of the genetic code in two manners: having more than one tRNA (with a specific anti-codon) for a particular amino acid; and 'wobble' base-pairing, i.e. permitting non-standard base-pairing at the 3rd anti-codon position. NCBI's taxonomy places the organism in Eukaryota, Metazoa, Chordata, Mammalia, Carnivora, Felidae. The record is from Rfam.